UGAGGAAUAUUGGUCAAUGGACGGAAGUCUGAACCAGCCAAGUAGCGUGCAGGAUGACGGCCCUAUGGGUUGUAAACUGCUUUUGUAUGGGGAUAAAGUUAGGGACGUGUCCCUAUUUGCAGGUACCAUACGAAUAAGGACCGGCUAAUUCCGUGCCAGCAGCCGCGGUAAUACGGAAGGUCCAGGCGUUAUCCGGAUUUAUUGGGUUUAAAGGGAGCGUAGGCUGGAGAUUAAGUGUGUUGUGAAAUGUAGACGCUCAACGUCUGAAUUGCAGCGCAUACUGGUUUCCUUGAGUACGCACAACGUUGGCGGAAUUCGUCGUGUAGCGGUGAAAUGCUUAGAUAUGACGAAGAACUCCGAUUGCGAAGGCAGCUGACGGGAGCGCAACUGACGCUUAAGCUCGAAGGUGCGGGUAUCAAACAGGANUAGAUACCCUGGUAGUCCGCACAGUAAACGAUGGAUGCCCGCUGUUGGUACCUGGUAUCAGCGGCUAAGCGAAAGCAUUAAGCAUCCCACCUGGGGAGUACGCCGGNNNGGU
RNAcentral lists this ribosomal RNA (538 nucleotides) under uncultured bacterium. RNAcentral describes it as "bacterial SSU rRNA". It matches the Rfam family "Bacterial small subunit ribosomal RNA", at positions 355 to 895 of the family's 1533-position model. The record is from RNAcentral.